AUACAGAGGGUGCAAGCGUUAAUCGGAUUUACUGGGCGUAAAGCGCGCGUAGGCGGCUAAUUAAGUCAAAUGUGAAAUCCCCGAGCUUAACUUGGGAAUUGCAUUCGAUACUGGUUAGCUAGAGUGUGCGAGAGGAUGGUAGAAUUCCAGGUGUAGCGGUGAAAUGCGUAGAGAUCUGGAGGAAUACCGAUGGCGAAGGCAGCCAUCUGGCCUAACACUGACGCUGAGGUGCGAAAGCAUGGGGAGCAAACAGGAUUAGAAACCCCGGUAGUCC
RNAcentral lists this ribosomal RNA (274 nucleotides) under uncultured bacterium. Its description in RNAcentral is "partial 16S ribosomal RNA". It matches the Rfam family "Bacterial small subunit ribosomal RNA", at positions 523 to 796 of the family's 1533-position model. The record is from RNAcentral.